This 943-nucleotide ribosomal RNA is filed under the name uncultured eubacterium AB13. Its description in RNAcentral is "bacterial SSU rRNA". It matches the Rfam family "Bacterial small subunit ribosomal RNA", at positions 117 to 1073 of the family's 1533-position model. The record is from RNAcentral.
GUUGGUGACCUGCCCCGAAGAGAGGGAUAACAGUCCGAAAGGAUUGCUAAUACCGCAUAAUUUCCUUCAGGUUAGAGGAGAAGGAAGAAAGGGAGAAAUCCGCUUUGGGAGGGGCCUGCGUCCCAUCAGCUAGUUGGCAGGGUAAAAGCCUACCAAGGCGAAGACGGGUAGGGGACCUGAGAGGGUGGCCCCCCACAAUGGAACUGAAACACGGUCCAUACACCUACGGGUGGCAGCAGUAGGGAAUAUUGCUUAAUGGGCGAAAGCCUGAAGCAGCAACGCCGCGUGUGCGAAGAAGGCCUUCGGGUUGUAAAGCACUUUUGCAGGGGAUGAGGAAGGACAGUACCCUGCGAAUAAGCUUCGGCUAACUACGUGCCAGCAGCCGCGGUAAAACGUAGGAGGCGAGCGUUAUCCGGAUUUACUGGGCGUAAAGCGCGUGCAGGCGGACUGGAAAGUUGGAUGUGAAAGCUCCCGGCUUAACUGGGAGAGGUCGUUCAAAACUACCAGACUAGAGGAAGGGAGAGGGAGGCGGAAUUCCGGGUGUAGUGGUGAAAUGCGUAGAUAUCCGGAGGAACACCAGUGGCGAAAGCGGCCUCCUGGCCCAAACCUGACGCUCAUACGCGAAAGCUAGGGUAGCAAACGGGAUUAGAGACCCCGGUAGUCCUAGCUGUAAACGAUGUAGACUUGGCGUGGGUGGGUUCAAAUCCAUCCGUGCCGGAGCUAACGCGAUAAGUCUACCGCCUGGGGACUACGGCCGCAAGGUUAAAACUCAAAGGAAUUGACGGGGGCCCGCACAAGCAGCGGAGCGCGUGGUUUAAUUCGAUGCUACACGAAGAACCUUACCAGGGUUUGACAUGCAAGUGGUAGGGAAGCGAAAGCAGACCGACCCUUCGGGGAGCUUGCACAGGUGCUGCAUGGCUGUCGUCAGCUCGUGUCGUGAGAA